AUUGAACGCUGGCGGCAGGCCUAACACAUGCAAGUCGAGCGGAUGAAGGGAGCUUGCUCCUGGAUUCAGCGGCGGACGGGUGAGUAAUGCCUAGGAAUCUGCCUGGUAGUGGGGGAUAACGUCCGGAAACGGGCGCUAAUACCGCAUACGUCCUGAGGGAGAAAGUGGGGGAUCUUCGGACCUCACGCUAUCAGAUGAGCCUAGGUCGGAUUAGCUAGUUGGUGGGGUAAAGGCCUACCAAGGCGACGAUCCGUAACUGGUCUGAGAGGAUGAUCAGUCAACCUGGAAUUGGGACACGGUCCAGACCCCUACGGGAGGCAGCGGGGGGGAAUUUUGGAAAAGGGGGGAAAGCCUGAUCCAGCCAUGCCGGGUGUGUGAAGAAGGUCUUCGGUUUGUAAAGCCCUUUAAGUUGGGAGGAAGGGCAGUAAGUUAAUACCUGGCUUUUUUGGCUUUACCAACAGAAUAAGCACCGGCUAACUGCGU
Molecule: ribosomal RNA, 483 nt
Filed under: uncultured bacterium
Lineage: Bacteria
Description: partial 16S ribosomal RNA
Rfam family: Bacterial small subunit ribosomal RNA
Source: RNAcentral